AUGAACGCUGGCGGCGUGCCUAAUCCAUGCAAGUCGAGCGAACAGACGAGGAGCUUGCUCCUCUGACGUUAGCGGCGGACGGGUGAGUAACACGUGGAUAACCUACCUAUAAGACUGGGAUAACUUCGGGAAACCGGAGCUAAUACCGGAUAAUAUAUUGAACCGCAUGGUUCAAUAGUGAAAGACGGUUUUGCUGUCACUUAUAGAUGGAUCCGCGCCGCAUUAGGUAGUUGGUAAGGUAACGGCUUAACAAGGCAACGAUGCGUAGCCGACCUGAGCGGGUGAACGGCCACACUGGAACUGAGACACGGUCCAGACUCCUACGGGAGGCAGCAGUAGGGAAUCUUCCGCAAUGGGCGAAAGCCUGACGGAGCAACGCCGCGUGAGUGAUGAAGGUCUUCGGAUCGUAAAACUCUGUUAUUAGGGAAGAACAAAUGUGUAAGUAACUAUGCACGUCUUGACGGUACCUAAUCAGAAAGCCACGGCUAACUACGUG
This 496-nucleotide ribosomal RNA is filed under the name uncultured bacterium. Its description in RNAcentral is "partial 16S ribosomal RNA". It matches the Rfam family "Bacterial small subunit ribosomal RNA", at positions 29 to 507 of the family's 1533-position model. The record is from RNAcentral.